This 226-nucleotide ribosomal RNA is filed under the name uncultured Streptococcus sp. RNAcentral describes it as "partial 16S ribosomal RNA". It matches the Rfam family "Bacterial small subunit ribosomal RNA", at positions 1153 to 1382 of the family's 1533-position model. Lineage: Bacteria; Bacillati; Bacillota; Bacilli; Lactobacillales; Streptococcaceae. The record is from RNAcentral.
CGCGUAAUACGGAGGAAGUGGGAUGACGUCAAAUCAUCAUGCCCCUUAUGACCUGGGCUACACACGUGCUACAAUGGUUGGUACAACGAGUUGCGAGUCGGUGACGGCGAGCUAAUCUCUUAAAGCCAAUCUCAGUUCGGAUUGUAGGCUGCAACUCGCCUACAUGAAGUCGGAAUCGCUAGUAAUCGCGGAUCAGCACGCCGCGGUGAAUACGUUCCCGGGCCUU